UCAAGGGUCAUUUUUUCCAACGUUGGUACGACCUGGCCUGGAUCAGGGACGGCCCUCGAGUGUAACUCGGAGCAAUAUCAUUCGCUGAUGGAUAUCUGGCCUAUCAUGCAUAGCACAUCUCAACCUUGUGGGUUCGUCAUAACAUAAGCAAAUCUGGAUACAGCGACAGCCUUCAGCGCCCUCAUGCUCCGCCCAAUCUCCAUGCACUGGGGCUCACGCUAUUGCGUAACUCCUCACUAGACGUUUCGAGAUUUCAGAACCUGGAUCCGAGGAAUCAAGGCACAAGAAAUCCAAACAUGUUGAAAAACCAGGGAUAAAUCCACGCUACUCAUUGCAAAACCAAGUGAACCAUUUCAGCUGCCAUGUUAAUUUACAUUUGAGGUUGAGCAUGGGCCACGAGAAAUAUGAGGACGUUUUCUUUUCCAUGCUAUCUCGGUCCUCGGCGGGAGGACACGGCGUUGCGUUUUCAAUCUGGUCCUCAGAUUACUCUCCCAGGGAAGUGCCAUCCAAUUUGACCCACUGAGGGCACGAAUCGUCCCGUCGUGGCUUCAUUGAUUAGCGCGGUUUAUCCAAAUUUUUUUUGGGAGCAUCAGUGUCGAUUGGAUGCGCUACCUUGCACAUCAUUCUGCAACCCAGCAUCAAAUCCCUGACUCCAUCGACUGUCAACUCAACCUUAAGAAUCUUACUCUUACGGUACCCGAUUCGUCUUGUUACCCCUCUCGCCUUG
This 727-nucleotide small RNA is filed under the name Histoplasma capsulatum var. duboisii H88. Its description in RNAcentral is "Histoplasma capsulatum H88 hypothetical RNA". Lineage: Eukaryota; Fungi; Ascomycota; Eurotiomycetes; Onygenales; Ajellomycetaceae. The record is from RNAcentral.